GUUGGCGCCUUGAGAGCCCUGGAGUAGGGGAGGUAAUGAAGACCCUGGCUUCUUCCAGUCUACACCUUCGGGAAGGGUUAAGGAGUCACCAGCUCGCCCCACUUCACCUCCGGCGGUGCUGGACAUGAGCUGGGCGCUAUAAUCUGCAGAACGUCCGGGACCGAAAAGGAUGGGGAACGCACCUGGAGCCAGGGCGAAGACAUCUAGAGAUGCAAAGGGAAUGGAAGAAAACCCGGAUCCGUAUUUGGCAGGUACCAGACCCCGCCCAAACUCCAAGACCCCGGCGUAGGGACAGCCAAACUCGCAGCGACAGGGGGACGGAACGGAACCCACCAAGGAGGGGAAGAAAGCCAGGAGAUCAGACGUUGCUGUCGUCGUAAUAGGCGAAUUCUCUAACAACACACGUGAUGUAGUGGAACUUCAAUCCGUUUCUAAACUCUCUUCCUUCCCACUUUCUCAGCGGGAAUCCCCUGAUGACCUCCACCCUCCCAUCCCAACUGCUGUUUGCUAGAGUUUUUCUUCCAUAACUGCUGCUCGGCCAGAUUGGAGUAUUUUCCCAGUUACAAGAACUUCUUAGUGAAAAAUAUAGACGUAAUUGUAGGGGAAAAAAAGCUUGUAAAUCUUUUGCAAAACUGUUACCGUCAAUGAUAAAAAUGCAAUUUUUUCUAGAUUCCAGAAUACAUUCAGCACCUCUUUCCCCUAUUAAAAAAAAAUCUUCCUAAUAUCCUUCCUGCUGGAAUUCAAACACAUUUUUCUCAACUUAUGUGCUCAAAAGUAAUACAAUCAGAUGUCCUUUCUAAAAUGUGAAUCUGAUCCUCUCACAAUCCUUACAAAGUCUCUAGGUCACCUAUAAUGUGCUUCCUGAUCUGGCUAAAUCUUUUUCAUUCUAAGUCUUCCUGGGCAGUUACCUUCCCUCAGUGCACACACCACACACACACCAACUUUACAUGACUAAGGUAUUUUAUCAGUAAGGUUCUCUAGAGAAAUGGAACAUAUGUACACACACACACACACACACACACACACACAUUUGCGUGUACGUGUGUGGGGUAACAGAUUUAUUUUAAGGAAUUGGCUCAGGAUGAUGGGGGCUGGAAGGUCCCUCUGAAAUCUACAGGGCAGCUCUGGCAGGCUGGAAACUCAAGCAAGAGUCGAUGCUUCAGUCUUAAGGCAGAAUUUCUCCUUUUCCAGGAAAUCUAAUUUUUGGCUCACAAUUGCUUGUGAUAUAGGCCCACCAGCAUUACCUAGAGCAAUCUCGUUUUGAAGUCUUACUGUAGAUGCUGAACACAUUUAUGAAACACCUUCACAGCAACACUUAGAUUUUAGAUUCGUGUUUGAUUAAAUAACUGAACACUGUAGCCUAGUCAAGUUGACACAUAAAACUAACCAUCACAGGUGUUACCCUGCAAAUCUCCAUGCUGCCCAGAAAUUUCCCUGGAAUCCUGGCCAGUCAGGUGUUUUACUAUUUGCUUCCCAGGUCAACUCGUCUUUCAUCUAUCUUUAUACUUGUCACAUGAUGUUUUGCUUCUUUAAACUAGAUUGUAUGCUCAGUGAGGGCAUAAACCAUAUCUCUCUGUUCACCAUAAUAUCUGCAGUAACUAGCAUCUGCUGCUAAAUACGUGUUUGAUAAACAUCUGAGUGAAAUCGUUAUUCCUACUAAAUAGCUGACAUUUUCUUAUAUUCACCUGGUCUCCCUCCAGGUAUUUGGAACCAGGGUAUACCCUACAUACAUGAGAAAUGAGAUGAAUUCACUAUAUUCUGAAUCAUUUUCUACCCUGUCUCAUAGGCUCUUUGUUCUCCAGAUGAAAUUUCCUCAAAUUUUUUUGAAUAUUAUUUUCAUUUUUCCCAUUUUGUUCGCAAUUCGAUUAUUCUUUUUCAUUCCCCCCUCCGAGUUUUCUGCAAAUUUAACCGCAUCUUGCCCAGCACUAGUCCUCUGUCAAACUGGCUAAUGCUUACUAGACUGGGAGAUUAAUAGUUUGAAUAUGCCUGUUUAAUAAAUUAAAUAUGUUUUGA
This is a long non-coding RNA of Homo sapiens (human), 2013 nucleotides long. RefSeq lists it as uncharacterized. The record is from RefSeq and is a predicted model, not a curated record. The transcript has 2 exons. Lineage: Eukaryota; Metazoa; Chordata; Mammalia; Primates; Hominidae.